RNAcentral lists this unclassified non-coding RNA (399 nucleotides) under uncultured fungus. RNAcentral's name for it is "sequence contains ITS1". The stretch from base 1 to 105 matches the Rfam family "5.8S ribosomal RNA", at positions 50 to 154 of the family's 154-position model. The record is from RNAcentral. Lineage: Eukaryota; Fungi.
AAACUGUGAUAAUUGAUGUGAAUUGCAGAUUACGUGAAUCAUCGAGAUCUUGAACGCAUUCUGCGCAUGGGAGUCCAUCUCCCAUGCAUAUUUGUUCGAGUGUCAGCUUCAACCUCACAAUUUAACCGUUGUGGAUAUUGAGGGUUAAUCGCUUGCGACUUCCCUUUAAAUUGAGCUGAUGAGGGGUACAUUGAUGUCGCCUGUACUCACUAGUAAUAUUGAGGUCAUUGAGUGGGUUAAACCGCUUGGAGACUACUUUUAACUGGAGAGUUUGGGUUUGAAGUCUGUCCCUUGGUCGUUGAUCAAAUGUUUUCCAUCUGAAUGGGUCUUUUCUCGUUUAGAAGGGGACAAGUUUAUCUAUAUUGACCUCGAAUAAGUAAGGCCACCCGCUGAACUUAA